Molecule: long non-coding RNA, 3024 nt
Organism: Crotalus tigris (Tiger rattlesnake)
Lineage: Eukaryota; Metazoa; Chordata; Lepidosauria; Squamata; Viperidae
Exons: 2
Source: RefSeq, a predicted model, not a curated record
UCAAGUUUUCGACACCUUGCUAGGCAACUCGUGGUACUCAGAUGUUGCCAUAUCCCAAAAGUGGUAGUAUGGGUGAAAAGAUUGAAAAGCCCUGACUUAUGCUUUAGUCACCUCCCAUUUGUCUUAUUGCAAUAUGUUCUACGUGGGGCAGUCCUUAAAGACCAUCCAGAAGCUGUAAUAAUCUAGAAUGCAGCAACAUCCAGUUUGGUAAGCUUGUGGUUCCUCCCCAGUUGUACUACUUUGUUUGAGCUGCACUGGCUCCCAGUUGUAUUUUUAUGAUGUAUCCCCUUUAAAAAUAUGGAUAGAUUAUCCAAGACAAGCCUUUCUACCCCCAACCCAGAGUCCCUCUUUAAGGGAAAUAGAUGAUUUAGAAAUGUGAAAAAUAUAAAUAACCUCCCAAUUAAAUUACAAGAUAAACUACCACCCUGACCUUCCAACUAUUCAGAUUGUUUUGAUAGCCUAUUGAAUAUUCAAGAAGAUAUGCCUUUCUUUGUACUAAAAUUAUGGGAAUGAAUUAAAUAAGUAACAACUGCUGUCCAUUUAUGAUAUCUAAAACUGGCUGUGUGUAUCACUGCUGACAGUUCAGAAUUCUUCUGUCCUACAGCUCUAUAAUCCAAAAUGUGCAAGGGUGACUCAACAAAAUGUUUUCUGUUCAUUUUCAAAAUGAGAUUUUUUUUUCCCCUUUCAGGAUUUGUUUCCAGAUUUCUAUCCAGUAGAUUGUCAUUACAUAGCUCAUUCAAGUUGAUAUAUAUAAUCAUGGUUGGAACUAAGACUGAGAGUUCAAUUACUUCUAUUACUUUGCUGAUGAAUUCCUUGAUUUUGAGCAACAGCCAAGCCUCUUUGCUACUACUUCACAAAAUAAAAAAAUUGUGAAUUAAUUAAAAGUUUGUUCUGGAAUCUGAACUUUUGACCAUGGAAUUUGAUGAGACUGAAUUGAACAAAAUGUUGAAGAAACUUUCAAAGAUUGAAGACAGCAUUAUUUCUCUGACCCAAAAAUCAUCCUGAUUUUUCACUUAAAACAAUGUUUGAGUAAUACUAAGGUUGACCUUAAUUAUAUGUGUAGAUUAUCCUGGACAUCAUGCUGUUCUAGCAGCAGUGUUUGAAAACUUAUACAUAAAUAUGAGAUCAAAGGGGGAGGCGGGGAGGUAACUGAGGCAUUCAAACUGAUGUAUACCUUAAAGCAAAAGAACAUAGCUAGAUUCACUGAAAUAAAAUGCUCCUCCAGAAAAAUGUAGAAUUUGUACAAUAAAAGAGCAAAUAUAUUUACCGUAUUUUCCGGCGUAUAAGACGACUUUCUAAAGCAUGCAAAUAGGCUCCGAAGUCGGGGGUCAUCUUAUACGUCGAGUCAUCUUAUACGCCAGAAAUUACGGUAGUUUCCGGCAUAUAAGAUGACUUUCUAGGCAUGCAAAUCGGCUCCGAAGUCGGGGGUCGUCUUAUACGCCAAGUCGUCUAAUACACCGGAAAAUACGGUACCUUUUCCAUUACUGACGUCACUAUGUGGUUUAUUCAUCCAGCCACUGAAAAGCAAUUUGUAGCAGUAGCUGCUGAACAUCUGUAGAUCCAGGAGAGGGAAUUCCAUAAGAAAUAUUCUUUUGUUUCUUUAUUUCUCUUCAUGUUUUCACCAGUUCAAAAAGGGUUGUUACUUGAGGAAAACAUUAAAAGUAGUGUAUUUUAGUUUCAUCUUCCCUUUCUGGAACAUUGUAGGAAAAGCAGAUUCCCAUUCUAGAAAUAAUUAUUUAGUUAUUAAUUGACCCACUAGGGUAUGACAGAUCUUCCACUUCUGUGGCACAAAACUAGCCAUAAGCAUUAUAACAAAAAGGUGGUCAUUUUAAAAAAGCUGUAUAGCAUUCAUUAGCAAUAGAGAGUAAAUACUGUAUGUUUUCACAAAGAGUUUUCAGCAUUAACUGUUUCAUUAUCUCAACAGUGUGGUAUUGAGUACUAUAGAAGUUACUGAAAAUGUAGAAUAUAUUGACCAAACUUUAAAGAGAAGGGGAUAUCAACUCUAGAAUGUUUUGGUGUUUACAAUCUAAAUUUUUUUUAAUGCCAAACUAUCUCCUCUUCCAUUCAGUUUCCUUCUGCUACUCAACUUGGCCCUCUGUACAACAGAUCAUAUUUUUAAAUGUUGCCUUAGAAACUAGCCUUGAAAAGUUUCUUCCAGAACACUUGCUUUCCACUUGACGAUACAGCUAUUGAGGGUUUUUUCAUGUCUUGUCUACCAAACUAUCUGUACAAUAUAGAGCAUCUCCUUUUAUAACAAGCAGUCAUAUUCCUAUGUGGUGAUUUCAUGCCAUAGUAUCUGCCCUGAUAUUAAUUAUGCACUAUAAACUAAAGCCUUCUCAAAUGAGCUUCUCAGUUAUCUUUGUGUAUAUCUGAAUAAAAGCUGCAAUAGCUCUUUUUAGAAAAUCAGUAACUAGAGGGGUACAAAAAUAUAGCAAAUGUCUAUCAAACUCAGCUAAUUUGCAGUAGUUUAUCUAUUACUGUCUUUUUUGUUCUCAAAUCCUAUAAACACUGUAACCAAGCUCACUAAUGUUACAAUUAACAUUAAAGAAAUACAGUUCUUAAAGAACCAUGUAUUGCAUGUAUUUACCAUACACAUAUGUAUGAUUUUCUCAUUACAUUAAUGGCUUAUUGACUAUUUGUAGAAGUCCAAACAUAAAAUAACUCUGCACUUUAAACUGCCCUUCUUCAGCUUGAUGUCCUCUGAAGACCUUCAGAUUACAAGCCUCAGAAUUUCCAACCAGUUAUAAAUUACAACCCCCAAAUUUCCCAAGGGCAUGUGGUUAGAGAAAGUUCUUUUAAAGCAUAGUAUUUAGCCUCUGUUCAAAAUACAGUUACAUGAUUUACAUAGAUGUUAUUUUCAUUUAGUUUCAUAUAUGUAUUAAUUAAGAUGAUUUACUUCUGCUUCGUGUGGUUGCUGGUGAACAUGGAUAUAAAAUGGAAGUUUUCUCUAUAUUAUUUGUAAGGUAAGAUAUUAGGGUUUUUUUGUUUAUCUGAAUUUUGGAAUUAAAACCUCAUUGCAUUCUU